Molecule: ribosomal RNA, 253 nt
Filed under: Anaerostipes hadrus ATCC 29173 = JCM 17467
Lineage: Bacteria; Bacillati; Bacillota; Clostridia; Lachnospirales; Lachnospiraceae
Description: Anaerostipes hadrus DSM 3319 partial 16S ribosomal RNA
Rfam family: Bacterial small subunit ribosomal RNA
Source: RNAcentral
UACGUAGGGGGCAAGCGUUAUCCGGAAUUACUGGGUGUAAAGGGUGCGUAGGUGGUAUGGCAAGUCAGAAGUGAAAACCUAGGGCUUAACUCUGGGACUGCUUUUGAAACUGUCAGACUGGAGUGCAGGAGAGGUAAGCGGAAUUCCUAGUGUAGCGGUGAAAUGCGUAGAUAUUAGGAGGAACAUCAGUGGCGAAGGCGGCUUACUGGACUGAAACUGACACUGAGGCACGAAAGCGUGGGGAGCAAACAGG